RNAcentral lists this ribosomal RNA (923 nucleotides) under Kluyveromyces marxianus. RNAcentral describes it as "LSU rRNA". The stretch from base 187 to 923 matches the Rfam family "Eukaryotic large subunit ribosomal RNA", at positions 1 to 782 of the family's 3401-position model. The record is from RNAcentral. Lineage: Eukaryota; Fungi; Ascomycota; Saccharomycetes; Saccharomycetales; Saccharomycetaceae.
CUAGCCGUUGCCAUCUGCGUGAGCAGGGCUGCGUGUCAAGUCUAUGGACUCGACUCUUGCACAUCUACGUCUUAGGUUUGCGCCAAUUCGUGGUAAGCUUGGGUCAUAGAGACUCAUAGGUGUUAUAAAGACUCGCUGGUGUUUGUCUCCUUGAGGCAUACGGCUUUAACCAAAACUCUCAAAGUUUGACCUCAAAUCAGGUAGGAGUACCCGCUGAACUUAAGCAUAUCAAUAAGCGGAGGAAAAGAAACCAACCGGGAUUGCCUUAGUAACGGCGAGUGAAGCGGCAAAAGCUCAAAUUUGAAAUCUGGCGUCUUCGACGUCCGAGUUGUAAUUUGAAGAAGGCGACUUUGUAGCUGGUCCUUGUCUAUGUUCCUUGGAACAGGACGUCAUAGAGGGUGAGAAUCCCGUGUGGCGAGGAUCCCAGUUAUUUGUAAAGUGCUUUCGACGAGUCGAGUUGUUUGGGAAUGCAGCUCUAAGUGGGUGGUAAAUUCCAUCUAAAGCUAAAUAUUGGCGAGAGACCGAUAGCGAACAAGUACAGUGAUGGAAAGAUGAAAAGAACUUUGAAAAGAGAGUGAAAAAGUACGUGAAAUUGUUGAAAGGGAAGGGCAUUUGAUCAGACAUGGCGUUUGCUUCGGCUUUCGCUGGGCCAGCAUCAGUUUUAGCGGUUGGAUAAAUCCUCGGGAAUGUGGCUCUGCUUCGGUAGAGUGUUAUAGCCCGUGGGAAUACAGCCAGCUGGGACUGAGGAUUGCGACUUUUGUCAAGGAUGCUGGCGUAAUGGUUAAAUGCCGCCCGUCUUGAAACACGGACCAAGGAGUCUAACGUCUAUGCGAGUGUUUGGGUGUAAAACCCGUACGCGUAAUGAAAGUGAACGUAGGUGAGGGCCCGCAAGGGUGCAUCAUCGACCGAUCCUGAUGUCUUCG